AACGCACAUUGCGCCUCUCUUUACCGGGAGGCAUGCCUGUCUGAGCGUCAUUUAAACCAAUAAACAUUUGUUUGUUUGUUUUGGGUCUCGCCUUUGGGCGUUAUCUUAAAAUGAUGGGUCUAAGUUAGCGGACGAGAUCCUUCAAGGACUAACCGUGAAUCAGACCAGAUAAAUCUCUGAUUUUGACCUCAGAUCAGGUAGGGAUACCGCCUGAACUUAA
This 220-nucleotide unclassified non-coding RNA is filed under the name uncultured fungus. RNAcentral describes it as "sequence contains ITS2". The record is from RNAcentral. Lineage: Eukaryota; Fungi.